RNAcentral lists this ribosomal RNA (508 nucleotides) under uncultured bacterium. Its description in RNAcentral is "partial 16S ribosomal RNA". It matches the Rfam family "Bacterial small subunit ribosomal RNA", at positions 30 to 523 of the family's 1533-position model. The record is from RNAcentral.
AUUGAACGCUGGCGGCAUGCCUUACACAUGCAAGUCGAACGGCAGCGGGGGAGAAGCUUGCUUUUCCUGCCGGCGAGUGGCGAACGGGUGAGUAAUACAUCGGAACGUGCCCUGUAGUGGGGGAUAACUAGUCGAAAGAUUAGCUAAUACCGCAUACGACCUGAGGGUGAAAGUGGGGGACCGCAAGGCCUCAUGCUAUAGGAGCGGCCGAUGUGUGAUUAGCUAGUUGGUGGGGUAAAGGCCUACCAAGGCGACGAUCAGUAGCUGGUCUGGGAGGACGAUCAGCCACACUGGGACUGAGACACGGCCCAGACUCCUACGGGAGGAAGCAGUGGGGAAUUUUGGACAAUGGGCGAAAGCCUGAUCCAGCAAUGCCGCGUGUGUGAAGAAGGCCUUCGGGUUGUAAAGCACUUUUGUCCGGAAAGAAAUGGCUCUGGUUAAUACCUGGGGUCGAUGACGGUACCGGAAGAAUAAGGACCGGCUAACUACGUGCCAGCCGCCGCAGUAA